RNAcentral lists this ribosomal RNA (253 nucleotides) under uncultured bacterium. Its description in RNAcentral is "partial 16S ribosomal RNA". It matches the Rfam family "Bacterial small subunit ribosomal RNA", at positions 524 to 776 of the family's 1533-position model. The record is from RNAcentral.
UACGUAGGGGGCUAGCGUUGUUCGGAAUCACUGGGCUUAAAGGGCGCGUAGGCGGGUCUUCAAGUUUGGGGUGAAAUCCUCCGGCUCAACCGGAGAACUGCCUCGAAUACUGAAGGUCUCGAGGGGGAUAGGGGCAUGCGGAACUACGGGUGGAGCGGUGAAAUGCGUUGAUAUCCGUAGGAACUCCGGUGGCGAAGGCGGCGUGCUGGAUCCCUUCUGACGCUGAGGCGCGAAAGCCAGGGGAGCAAACGGG